Molecule: non-coding RNA, 382 nt
Organism: Odocoileus virginianus texanus
Lineage: Eukaryota; Metazoa; Chordata; Mammalia; Artiodactyla; Cervidae
Source: RefSeq, a predicted model, not a curated record
CAUGACUAUGAGUCAACAAUGAAGACUUGAUCAUCAAGACUGAUGGCGUCCCCUUCCUCCCACUGACCUCAGACAAAGAAUUUGUGUACUUUGUGCUGGCUUCACUCUGUCCAAGUUCAGAGGUGCCAGGGGAGAACUUGAGGAGAGAAGAGGAAUGAGCAUAGAAAACAGCAUCUCAAACUCACAUCCCCUCCCCUCUAAGACCAGGAAGGAGAAAGUCUUCCCAGCAGCAAAUCCUGGAGAAGGAUUCAAAUUGUCCUCUUUUGGAUCACAUCACCAUUUCUGAGAGCUUCACUGGGCUUUGUUACCAUAAGAAAUAGAAAGAAGUGCUGGGCAGAAAAUGAAAAAUGGCCAUUACAGUAAAAUGAAAAUGUGUUUGUAA